UGAAUUUCAUCGCCUAAGAUGACAACCAGAGCGUCUGGACGAAUAGGAACUUUUACCCAACCAAAUUCAUCGUUAAAAACUUCAAGCCCAGACACUUGGUCAUCUUGCAGUAUAAUUGUUAUAGACGUCGCAUCUGAAUGGGGUUUCAUACCAAGUAUAAGAUCAGCUUUAGAGCAAAGAGGGUAAUAGUUAAAUCGCCAAGUAAUUAAUCCUUUUAUUCCGUUGUUAACGAAGUAAAACUCAUCCAAUCCCAAGCUCCUUGCUACUGCUUUGAAGAUCUCAUCCAUUAUAAUCAUCACCUUUUCGUUAAACUCAAACAUCUUCUCCCUGACAACAAAAUAAAGUCGAAUUUGAUCAAUAAUAAUGAGAAAUAUAAUGUUCGUUUAAUUUGCGUAUAUACUUGAAUGAUUCUGGAUUUUGUGGCCAAAGAUCCAUCUUCCUCCCCUCCUCUGGGUGAACAUUGAGAUACAAUUUAUCAUUCCAAUCGAGUAUCUGUUCAUCUGAUAAAACAGGAUCGCUGCCAUAUCCCUCUUUAAACUCAUAAAUCUUCGAAUCAGCAAUAGUGUAGUUUUGUUUCUCUUUGGGUGGUAGUUUGAAGAACAACCUCUGAACGUUUCGAACCUCGUCCAUAAGAGAAGUUGGUAUUCCAUGCCCAAUUACCUGAGUGCGAUAAAUAAAUAUAUUAUACAUAUAACUUGAGUAGUUUGAUGGACUGAAAAAUGAAUGGAUUAAUGUUUAUUUCUUCAUGAAAUAACUACCUGAAAUAAACCCCAAAAUGAUGAAGCUGAUUUCAGCUUGGAAUCUUCGACUUGCCUCUGGUCCAAAUCCUUCGAUUCGACGUAGCUGAGGUCGAUGAUAGGAAUUCUACCAAGGGGAGAUUCUAAAUUUGGCCGAUCAGAUUCAUUUCGGAUGAAACGCUUAGUCGGUGAGCCGUCGUUCUUCAAUGCAAUCUCUUGAUCCUUUUCGAUUAAAUCCGCCAUGAUCUGCUAGCUAGCUUCACUUUACUUCGUUUGUUUAUUUCAAUAACAACGUAUAUAUCAGGGGCCUGCACUUAUUUUCAAUUAUUGAAGUAGUUGGGAAUAGUGAGUUAGCAAUAUUAUUAUAUAUUUUUUUUCAAAUUACCCAAGAUCCAAUGCAUCUAAAUUUUGACAAUAUUAUAGUAGAAAUAUUUAGGGAAGGAAUUAUCAGAACCACAUAAUAUAUUACUGGUUAUAUCGUAGUGAAAAUUAAAUAAAAAUAAGUAUACAUGCAAGACUGAAAGGCUAAUCCCUUAGAAACCUUAAUAGUUACUUUGAUCAAUUGAUCAGUUGAUCUUCCUGUUCAAUUCUGUACAAUCUAGUCUUUCAAUUCCUUCUUCGAUCUAUCAACUCGUCAACGGGGCCAAGUUCGUUCUCUAGUUCAAUUCAGAUAUAUAUAGGUGGAGAUUCAGAUAAAAUACCUUUAAAAAGAUAUCUCAUGAGAUAAUGAUACUGAUCUUCUAUUUUCUAAUUUUACUCUUGAGAUCUGUUCCACGUUUAUAAUAAAAAUAUAAAAUAAUAAGAACGGUGAGAUAAAAGUAUCUAAUGAGAUAUCUCAUUUGAAGUACAUCAUGAGAAUCGUUUCCUAUAUAUAUAUAGUUAGAAAAAACUUCAUACACUUUUUGUUAAUCCUCUUUGUGAGCUUUCUCAAUGAAAUAUUAUCAGUUCGUCCCUCGUUCAAAUCGAGAAUUUGAGACUCGGAAUUUGCAUUUUCAAUUUUCUUUGUAUCUUCAUGUGUCAACAUUUCGCGUAUCUCAAUAAAAAUAGAUGGUGAAAAUGAGGAGCUGAUAAAGAGCAUCAAUAUUAUUUUAAUACAGUAAUUUUCAGGUGUGUCGUACGUCGGUGUGCCAAAAUGCGUCGUACGCAUCCUGUCCUUUAAUUUUUAAUUCAAUAGUUAUAAUAAUGUAUUGCAUAAAACACUAACACAUGUACGAUGAAAAAAAUAUACAACAAAAAAGACACUAACUCAUGUACGACGAAAUAUCGAUCUAAUGGUCAAAAUUUUUUGACGCAUUGAAAUUUGACGCAUAGAAAACCUGCCUUAUUUUAAUACUACUUUCAACACACUAUUGAUAUCAAAAUCUAAAGAGAUAAAAAUGCUCAUUGGUUCACGGGCACAUUGAAAAAUAUAUAAUAUAAUAUUGCAAUGGAUCUAAAAAUCUCUAAUCCUGAAUAGUUCUGGUGAUACAGUAUCCCGAACCCGGUCACAACUUACCAGCAACUAGAAGUCCGGAUAGUCUGAGAUGAGUUGAGGUACCUAUUCUGGGAUUGGGGAGGUCCCAAGUCGAAUCCUAGGAAGAUCGACUUUCCCAAGGAUCGACUUCCCUGGAAUCGACUUUUGAACAAAGUUGAACCCCAGGAAAGUCGGAUCCCAAGAAAGUCGAUCUCUGGAAAGUCAACUUUGGGUUCUAAUCUGAUCAGUUAGGCAGUUAGGCAGUUACUUCCCAAAUGACCAGAUUACCCCCAUGAGAAUCCCUAUAAAUAGGAGGCACCUCCAUUCAUUAAAGGCAGGUCAUUUGGAGUGGAGAAGUCCUAGCGAAGCGAAGCUCUGCGCACUUGAGUUCCGGUCCGAUUUCCCGCGGAGUUCCCCACCUGGCGCUUGCUGAAGCGUCUUGGAGUACUGGUCGGGUUCCACCCUCAUCAAAACCCCAUUCAGAUGCACCCAGACACUUGGUCAUCUUGCAGUAUAAUUGUUAUAGAAGCCGCAUCUGAAUGGGGUUUUGAUGAGGGUGGAACCCGACCAGUACUCCAAGACGCUUCAGCAAGCGUCAGGCGGGGAACUCCGCGGGAAAUCGGACCGGAACUCAAGUGCGCAGAGCUUCGCUUCGCUAGGACUUCUCCACUCCAAAUGACCUGCCUUUAAUGAAUGGGGGGUGCCUCCUAUUUAUAGGGAUUCUCAUGGGGAUAAUCUGGUCAUUUGGGAAGUAACCGCCUAACUGAUCAGAUCAGGACCCAAGGUCGACUUUCCAGAGAUCGACUUUCUUGGGAUCCGACUUUCCUGGGGUUCGACUUUGUUCAAAAGUCGAUCCCAGGGAAGUCGAUCCUUGGGAAAGUCGAUCUUCUUAGGAUUCGACUUGGGACCUCCCCAAUCCCAGAAUAGGUACCUCAAUUCAUCUCAGGCUAUCCGGACUUCUAAUUGUUGGUAAGUUGUAACCAGGUUCGGGAUACUGUAUCACCAGUACUCCCCCCUCCUCUGCGUAUUAGAUAUCUUGGGAUACGUCUUUUAGUACUAUGGUCUAUGUGUUGGACCCUGUAUUAUCAGUAUUCCCCCUCUUUGCGUGCUAGGGUGUGGGCUAUCGGUGAUGUCCUGGGAUGCGAGAUCUUCUCUCACCAGCUCUCCCCCCCUUCUACGACCGUGAGGUUAUACCUAUGCUUCCAUGGAGGUUGUCCCAUACUUUUGCUAACUACUGUCCGGUUUGUCCUAGCCGAAGCAUUCUCCUUGCGCAGCUUGCCUAACCCGAUUUUCGAGCGGAACCCUGCUUGCCCACCUUGACGCUUUGCUGAGCUGUCUCCGAGCAAUGUUCGAGUACCUCUCCCCUCUUCUGUGUUUGGAGUUGAGUGUUGUCCCUUCUACCUAUUUGUUUUUAUAGGUGAAGUUCUCUUUUGAACUCUUGCCGCCUCCUUCUGCCCGCUGUUUCCGUGGCUGAGGUUGAGCGUAGUCCUUUGUCUACCUAUGUACUUCCAUAGGUGAGGUUCUCUUUUGAACUCUUUCCCCCUCCUUUUUCCCGCUUCUUUCGUGGUUGAGGUUGAGCGUAGUCCCUCGUCUACCUAUGUACUUCCAUAGGUGAGGUUCUCUUUUGAAGUCUUGCCCCCUCCUUCUGCCCGCUGCUUCCGUGGCUGAGGUUGUCAUUUGUAGACUUGUUCCUCGUCUACCUAUGUUCUUCCAUAGGUGAGGUUCAUUCUUGAACAAAUACCCCUCUGUCUACGUUCUUCUGUAGAAGGAGUCAGUGUCUUACUGAUGUGUCCCCCGUCUACCUACGUUCUUUCGUAGGUGGGGUUUAUUUUUGAACACUUAUCCCUUCGUAGGCGGGAUGUGUGUGCUGUUGCUGUAUCCCUCAUCUACCUAUGCUCUUCCAUAAGUGAGGUUUACUUUCGAAUACUUACCCUUCUAUCUACGUUCUUCCAUAGGUGGGGUGUAUGUUUUGCCAGUGUGUCCCCCGUCUACCUACGUUCUUCCGUAGGUGAGGUUCACUUUUAAACACUUACCCCUUUCUAGGUGGGGCGUGCGUUUUGCCGAUGUGUCCCCCGUCUACCUACGUUCUUCCGUAGGUGAGGUUCACUUUUGAACACUUACCCCUCUGUCUACGUUCUUUUGUAGAUAGGGCGUGUGUUUUGCCGAUGUAUCCCCCGUCUACCUACGUUCUUCCGUAGGUGAAGUUCACUUUUGAAUACUUACCCCUUUUUAGGUGGGGCGUGCGUUUUGCCGAUGUGUCCCCCGUCUACCUACGUUCUUCCGUAGGUGAUGUUCACUUUUGAACACUUUCCCCUCUAUCCACGUUCUUCCGUAGAUUGGGUUAAGUUUUUUUUUUUGGUGUGUCCCUCGACUUACCUACGUUCUUCCGUAGGUGAGGUUCACUUUUGAAUACUUUCCCCUCUAUCAACGUUCUUCCGUAGAUUGGGUUAAAUUUUUUCGGUGUGUCCCUCGACUACCUACGUUCUUCCGUAGGUGAGGUUCACUUUUGAACACUUCCUCUUUUAGCCUAUGUUCUUUUGUAGGUGGGCGUGUGUCGUGUUCCCCGUCUACCCGCGUUCUUCCGUGGGUGGAGUUUGCUUUUGAACACUUCCCCUUUUAGCCUCCGUUUUUAGUAGGUGAGUGUGUGUCGUGUUCCCCGUCUACCCGCGUUCUUCCGUGAGUGGGGUUUACUUUUGGAUACUCGCCCUUCUGUCUACGUUUUUUGUGUAGAUGUGGUGUGUGUUGUGUUCCCCGUCUACCCGCAUUCUUCCGUGGGUGGGGUUUACUUUUGGAUACUCGCUCUUUUGUCUACGUUUUUUAUAUAAAUGUGGUGAGUGUUUCUGGAUGGGGUACGCGUCCUGACCUUGUUACUACUAAAACUUUCUCCACCUACGUUCUUCCGUGGGUAGAGUUAACUUGGCGUCCUACUCUAUUACUGUGUUCAGCAUUUGUAGGAGUUCAAAUAUUUUAGAGUGGCACAGUUCAUUCUAUUGCCAUACCGUCAUCGAUAUUAUUCUUCCUUAGUUGUGUGAUCGUAAAGCUUCUGUAUCUUUCGGGUCCUUUCUGUUGUUAUGCGGAUUUCCGGGGUAUUUUUCCUAGACCCACUGCCUUGGUGAACUUCCACAAUAUUUCAGGAGUAUUUUUCCUACACCCCCUGCCUUGGUGAAUUUCGAGAUGUCAGGAGUGUUUUUCCUACACCCCCUGCCUUGGUGAAUUUCGAGAUGUCAGGAGUGUUUUUCCUACACCCCCUGCCUUGGUGAACUUCCACAAUAUUUCAAGAGUAUUUUUCCUACACCCCCCUGCCUUGGUGAAUUUCAACAUGUCAGGGUUUUUUUUUCUACACCCCCCCUUGUGUUGGUGAAUGGGGAGAAAAAGUUGAUCCCCCGUAAUGUUAAUUGAUUUUUGUGGAAAAGUCGAUCCGGAUAUUGCCUUUCAACUCUUACAGAAAAGUCGAUCCCUUGGGUCCUCGUGUUGACUCUUUUGUAAAAGUCGAUUCCUGGUGUUGGCCAAAAAAGUCGAGUUGUCGUGCUGGCCUUGGAAGGGUCGUCCUCCUGGUCAUUUUUAUUCUAUUUUUGUCCUUUUGUGCGGACCUGGGGUCUAUAAAUAGACCCUUUAAGUUCUCCUUUCCCUUCAUCCAUGGCUCUUCUUGUGAGUCUCUUUGCUGAUUUUAUUCAGGGAGAGAUUGAGGAGCUGAAUCGAAUUUUCAAUAUUUUGGAUCAUCGGUCUUUGGCCUUGGAUCUUCCUGCUCUGCGCCAAAUUAUUGUUGAGCGGCAGAGUGUUGAGGUUGCAGCUAGGGAAUCAAUCUUUGAAGAAUGGUCUGUUGGUGGCCUACCGAUUAUGGCUUCCCCUGCCGCCCCCUCUUAUGGUCGGCGCCGGAGGCGUCAUUGACGUGAUGGUUCUUCCCCUAAUCAGGUCCCUCGUCGCCGUAUUAAUUUUAACUAAGGACUUGUAAUCUUUUCAUUCUUUUACUUGUAACUCUGAAUAAAGAUAUUUUCCCUUCUUUACAUCUGUUUUACACCUUUGCUCUGAAGCACGUCGGUGUGCUCUGCGGGUAUACUUUGUCCUUUUUCUAAGGAUUUCAUUCAUGGAGAUCGAUUUUUUCUAAGAUGUCGAUUCCUUAAAGUCGAUGUUGUCUGUUGAUCGAUUUCAUCCUUUUCUGAAGAUGCCAAAGUUUAUACAGAAAGUCGAUCCCAUCCUUCUCUGAGGAUGUCGAUAUCUUAUAAAAGUCGAUCUCACCUUUUUCUGAGGAUGUCGAUGCUGUGUAAAAGUCGACUCUAUCCUUUUUUGAGGAUGUCGAAGUUUAUAUGAAAGUCGACUCUUUCCUUCUCUGAGGAUGUCGAUGUCCUAUACAAGUCGACUCUAUCCUUUUCUGAGGAUGUCGAUUUGAUUACUUGUGGAAUGUCGACUCUAUCCUUCUCUUGUGGAGGAUGUCUAUGUCCAUAUGAAUGUCGACUCUAUCCUUCUCUGAGGAUGUCGAAGUUGGUACUUGAGGAAUAUUGACUCUAUCCCCUUUUUUUUAUGGAGGAUGUCGAAGUUGGUACUUGAGGAAUAUUGACUCUAUCCCCUUUUUUUUUAUGGAGGAUGUCGAUAGUUGCCUUUUCUACAGAAUGUCGACUCUAUCCUUUUUUGAGGAUGUUGAUGUUUAUUUUUGAAAAAAUGUCGAGAUUUUCUCCUUUUUCCAUAGGGAUGUUAAUCUCUAACUUCCGAAAAAUAUCAAGAUCUGCCCUCCUUUCAUAGGGAUGUCGAUCUCUGACUUCUGAAAAAAUGCUGAGAUCUACCCUCCUUUCCUAGGGAUGUCGAUCUCUGACUUCUGAGAACAUGUCGAGAUCUGCCCUCCUUUUCUAGGGAUGUCGAUCUCUGACUUCUGAGAACAUAUCGAGAUCUGCCCUCCUUUUCUAGGGAUGUCGAUCUCUGACUUCUGAGAACAUGUCGAGAUCUGCCCUCCUUUUCUAGGGAUGUUGAUCUCUGACUUCUGAAAACAUGCCAAGAUCUGCCCUCCUUUCAUAGGGAUGUCGAUCUCUGACUUUUGAGAACAUGUCGAGUCCUCCCUUUCAGAGGAUGGGUUUGACUUCUUAUUGUCAACUUCUUUAGUUGACUUCUUUUUGAAGUGUUUUACGGACUUCUUUUGGGAGCUUUCUUAAAAUUGUUUUUUAACUCCUACUUUGUUUCUCGCAGCUUCUUGCUACCAUGUCCUCCAAAAAUGACUUUGUUCAGGUUAUCCCUGUUAUCGGUGGUGGUUAUAUUUCUAUAUAGGUGUAUGGUUCCAUCGUUACUUGGAUUAACGCGGAAGCAGCGGGAUCCUGGUUGGAGUUCUUUUCCUACCAUAUAUGGUCCUUCCCAACUUGUGCCUAGUUUGCCUUUGGAGCAUCUUUUUCGAUUGAUGCUUGCUCUUCUCAAUACUAGGCUUCCUUUUCUUAUCGCUUUAUCCUUGACGCUCUUGUCAUGACAUCUAGCGAUAUUUUGUUCGUAUGCCGCAUUCUUUGCCUGUGCAUUAUCCCGUAGCUCAUCCACUAAGUUCAGAGCUGUCGCAUAUGAUCUCACGUUCUCCUGCGUGUCAUAGGUCAAUACUCUGACUGUUGGGAUGCUAAGCUCUGUUGGGAUUAGUGCUUCCAUUCCGCAUGCUAGUGAGAACGGAUUUUUCUCAGUGGGUGUUUUUUCAGUAGUUUUGUAUGCCCACAGGAUCUCCGGUAGUAAAUCUGCCCACGCACCUUUGGCUUGUUCGACCUUUUUCUUCAGUCCCUGAACAAUGGUCCUGUUUUUGACUUCUACUUGUCUAUUACCCUGUGGUCUAUACACUGAUGAAAAAUGGAUUUUGGUGUCCAUGUUCUCGCACAAUCUCGUGAACUCCCCACCAGUAAACUGUGUUCCGUUAUCUAUCACUAUGUGCAUGGGAAUGCCGGAUCUGCACGUUAUGCAUUUGAAGACAAAUUUCGUUGCUACACCUUGUGUUAUCUUGGGUACCGUUAAGGUUUCAACCCAUUUGGGUCAGAGACCUUCCUCCCUGGUGUAUUCCGCAUACCCCCGAUGGAUCUUCUCUACAAUGAAUUGUCCUUCAUCUGCUGAGACACACUUCAUUAGAGGCCUAUCGUAGGAUUUUUUGUACAGAAUGUCCCUGAUUAGGCNNNNNNNNNNNNNNNNNNNNNNNNNNNNNNNNNNNNNNNNNNNNNNNNNNNNNNNNNNNNNNNNNNNNNNNNNNNNNNNNNNNNNNNNNNNNNNNNNNNNNNNNNNNNNNNNNNNNNNNNNNNNNNNNGUGUGGAUGCUGAGUCAACCAGUAUCUCUCUCUGCCCCCCUUUGAAAGCGGAUGCUAGCUUUUCCAGGGCAUCAACUGAGUUGUUGUGACUCCUUGGUAUUUGUUCUAUUUCCACCCUGUUAAAUUGCAACUUUAUUUUUUCUAUUGUAGCUGCUUACUGCAUGAUUAGAGGUUCUUUGACUGUAAACUCCCCUGUGAACUGCCAAGCUACUAGUUGAGAGUCUGUUCUGAUGAUUACUGAACAAGCCCCUGAUUUUUUGAGUAUUUUCAUGCCCUGGAUUACAACCUCGUAUUCUGCUAUAUUGUUUGUAGCUGAGAAUUGUAAUCUGAUGGAGUGUUCGUAUAUCUUUUGGUCCGGGGUGAUUAUUUUUAUUCCUAGCCCUGCACCAGUACUGCAGCUUGAGCCAUCAACCUUUAUCAUCCAAGGUUUCUUAUUACUUUCCUGAGUCAAAUCCACAAUAAAGUCUUCUACAGCCUGCCCUUUAAUGGCAGUGGCAGGGACAAAAUCUAAAUCAAACCUGCUUAACUCCAGAGCCCACUUCGUCAGCCUUCCGGAAGUGUCUGGUCUGUGGAGUAUUCUGCAUAAUGGAUGUUUUGUCAAGACUUUGAUUGUGUGAUUCAGGAAGUAUGCUCGAAAUCUGUGUGUUGCUUGGGUUAUUGUCAGGACUAUUUUUUCCACUGGGGGUAUCGUGUUUCUGCCCCCUGAAACAUUUGUCCAUACUAUCAUCCUUGUUAUGCGGUACUAUUAAUAUGGUAGUGGGUGUUUGCUGAGGAUUAUGAAGAAUCCGAUAUUAUCUCUGUCCCAUUCUCACCCCCCUAUGAAAAUUGAGCCACGUACCUUUGGUUUUUGGCGACACUAACCCCCUUCCUAGGAAAAGUCGACUUCAAAAGGCUAUCCCCCUCCUGGGAAAAAGUCGAUUUCAAAAUGUCUAUCCCCCUCUUGGGAAAAGUUGACUUCAAAAUGUCUAACCCCAUUCUUGGAAUCAACUUUAAAAAGUCUAACCCCAUUCUUCGGAAAAAGUCGACUUGAAAAUGUCUAACCCAAUUCCUGGGAAAAAGUCGACUUCAAAAAGUCUAUCCCAAUUCUUGGGAAAAAGUCUAACCCCAUUCUAAAAGUCGACUUGAAAAAGUCUAUCCCAAUUCUUGGGAAAAAGUCUAACCCCAUUCUUGGAAUCAACUUAAAAAAGUCUAACCCCAUUCUUGGGAAAAAGUCGACUUGAAAAUGUCUAACCCAAUUCCUAGGAAAGAGUUGACUUCAAAAAGUCUAUCACAAUUCUUGGGAAAAAAUCGACUUGAAAAUGUCUAACCCAAUUCCUGAACAAGUCGACUUCUGGAAGAGCUUUUCCUGAAAGCUGAGGAACUCGACUUUUUUGAAGAAAAGUCGAGUUUAAGACCUUAGUCGGAUCCUGAGUUGGAGAAGCAGCCUCCCUUCAGAAGAGUUGACUUUGCUCUGGGGAAAAGUCGGACCCUUUUUUCCAGCAAAAGUCGAUUCUUGUGCACUUGGGGACUUCCCCAAAAGUCGUAGCCUGGAAGUGUAGCUCCUUGAGGGAUCGACUUUUAUCCUGGAGAGAGAAAAAGUCGAUCCUUUGCCGAGCUGAUUUCCUCUCAAGACUCCCUGGCUGGUGACUUGGAAAAAAAUCGAACCCUUUUUUCACAAAAGUCGAGGAACUUUUGUCGUGAGUAACUUUGAAUCACAGACGGCGCCAACUGAUGAGGGUGGAACCCGACCAGUACUCCAAGACGCUUUAGCAAGCGCCAGGCGGGGAACUCCGCGGGAAAUCGGACCGGAACUCAAGUGCGCAGAGCUACGCUUCGCUAGGACUUCUCCACUCCAAAUGACCUGCCUUUAAUGAAUGGGGGGUGCCUCCUAUUUAUAGGGAUUCUCAUGGGGGUAAUCUGGUCAUUUGGGCAGUAACUGCCUAACUGAUCAGAUCGGGACUCAAGGUCGACUUUCCAGAGAUCGACUUUCUUGAGAUCCGACUUUCCUGGGGUUCGACUUUGUUCAAAAGUCGAUCCUUGGGAAAGUCGAUCUUCCUAGGAUUCAACUUGGGACCUCCCCAAUCCCAAAAUAGGUACCUCAACUCAUCUCAGGCUAUCCGUACUUCUAGUUGCUGGUAAGUUGUGACCGGGUUCGGGAUACUGUAUCACCAGUACUCUCCCCUCUGCGUAUUAGAUAUCUUGGGAUACGUCUUUUAGUACUAUGGUCUCUGUGUUGGACCCUGUACUAUCAGGUUUCAUACCAAGUACAAGAUCAGGUUUAGAGCAAAGAGGGUAAUAGUUAAAUCGCCAGGUAAUUAAUCCUUUCGUUCCGUUGUUAACGAAGUAAAACUCAUCCAAUCCCAAGCUCCUUGCUACU
Molecule: long non-coding RNA, 10796 nt
Filed under: Zostera marina
Lineage: Eukaryota; Viridiplantae; Streptophyta; Magnoliopsida; Alismatales; Zosteraceae
Description: long non-coding RNA (ZMAR_LNC003353)
Source: RNAcentral